Molecule: ribosomal RNA, 429 nt
Filed under: uncultured bacterium
Lineage: Bacteria
Description: bacterial SSU rRNA
Rfam family: Bacterial small subunit ribosomal RNA
Source: RNAcentral
UCGAGAAUCUUUAGCAAUGCCCGAAAGGGUGACUAUGCGACGCCGCGUGAGCGAUGAAGGUCUUCGGAUUGUAAAGCUCUGUCGAGCAGGAUGAAUACUUUGCUUAUAACAUGAGCAAAGAAUGACCGUACCGCUAAAGGAAGCCACGGCUAACUCCGUGCCAGCAGCCGCGGUAAUACGGAGGUGGCAAGCGUUGUUCGGAUUUAUUGGGUGUAAAGGGCAGGUAGGUGUCCUAGUAAGUUCUGAUUGAAAUCCUUCAGCUCAACUGGAGAACUGGUCAGAAAACUGCUAGGAUUGAGUGCGGAAGAGGAGAACGGAAUUCCCGGUGUAAGGGUGAAAUCUGUAGAUAUCGGGAAGAACACCAGUGGCGAAGGCGGUUCUCUGGUACGCUACUGACACUGAACUGCGAAAGCUAGGGGAGCAAACAGG